Molecule: ribosomal RNA, 403 nt
Filed under: uncultured bacterium
Lineage: Bacteria
Description: partial 16S ribosomal RNA
Rfam family: Bacterial small subunit ribosomal RNA
Source: RNAcentral
AUUGAACGCUGGCGGCAGGCCUAACACAUGCAAGUCGAGCGAGCGGCGGACGGGUGAGUAAUGUAUGGGGACUGCCCGAUAGAGGGGGAUAACUACUGGAAACGGUAGCUAAUACCGCAUACUAUCGGAUAACCCAUAUGGGAUUAGGUAGUAGGUGAGGUAAUGGCUCACCUAGGCGACGAUCCCUAGCUGGUCUGAGAGGAUGAUCAGCGAAACUGGGACUGGGACACGGCCCAGACUCCUCCGGAGGCAGCAGUGGGGAGUGUUGCACAAUGGGCGCAAGCCUGAUGCAGCCAUGCCGCGUGUAUGGAGAAGGCCCUAGGGUUGUAAAGUACUUUCAGUCGGGAGGCGUUACCGACAGAAGAAGCACCGGCUAACUCCGUGCCAGCAGCCGCGGUAAUAC